RNAcentral lists this ribosomal RNA (1388 nucleotides) under uncultured bacterium. RNAcentral describes it as "bacterial SSU rRNA". It matches the Rfam family "Bacterial small subunit ribosomal RNA". The record is from RNAcentral.
AUUCGCCCUUAGAGUUUGAUCCUGGCUCAGGAUGAACGCUGGCGGCGUGCUUAACACAUGCAAGUCGAACGAUGACUUUUGUGCUUGCACAAAAUGAUUAGUGGCGAACGGGUGAGUAACACGUGAGUAACCUGCCCUUAACUUCGGGAUAAGCCUGGGAAACCGGGUCUAAUACCGGAUACGACGGAUUCCCGCAUGGGGGUCCGUGGAAAGCUUGAUGCGGUUUUGGAUGGACUCGCGGCCUAUCAGCUAGUUGGUUGGGGUAAUGGCCCACCAAGGCGACGACGGGUAGCCGGCCUGAGAGGGUGACCGGCCACACUGGGACUGAGACACGGCCCAGACUCCUACGGGAGGCAGCAGUGGGGAAUAUUGCACAAUGGGCGAAAGCCUGAUGCAGCGACGCCGCGUGAGGGACGAAGGCCUUCGGGUUGUAAACCUCUUUCAGCAGGGAAGAAGCGAAAGUGACGGUACCUGCAGAAGAAGCGCCGGCUAACUACGUGCCAGCAGCCGCGGUAAUACGUAGGGCGCAAGCGUUAUCCGGAAUUAUUGGGCGUAAAGGGUGUGUAGGCGGUUUAGUAAGAUAGCGGUGAAAUGCCGGGGCUCAACCUCGGAACUGCCGUUACAACUAUUGAGCUAGAGUGACAGAGAGGAUAUGGGAAUACCCAGUGUAGAGGUGAAAUUCGUAGAUAUUGGGUAGAACACCGGUGGCGAAGGCGCAUAUCUGGCUGUAAACUGACGCUGAGGCACGAAAGCAUGGGGAUCAAACAGGAUUAGAUACCCUGGUAGUCCAUGCUGUAAACGAUGAAUGCUAGUUGUCGGUUAUUGUGUCGGUGACGAAGUUAACGCGAUAAGCAUUCCGCCUGGGGAGUACGGCCGCAAGGUUAAAACUCAAAGGAAUUGACGGGGACCCGCACAAGCGGUGGAGCAUGUGGUUUAAUUCGAUGCAACGCGAAGAACCUUACCAGGUCUUGACAUCCAAUAAAACUUGUAGAGAUACAUCGUGGACUUCGGUCCGUAUUGAGACAGGUGGUGCAUGGUUGUCGUCAGCUCGUGUCGUGAGAUGUUGGGUUAAGUCCCGCAACGAGCGCAACCCUUGUGAUCAGUUACUAACAGGUAAUGCUGAGGACUCUGAUAAGACUGCCGGGGACAACUCGGAGGAAGGUGGGGACGACGUCAAAUCAUCAUGCCCCUUAUGACCUGGGCUACACACGUGCUACAAUGGCCACUACAGAGAGAAGCGAGCCUGAGAGGGGGAGCGGAUCUCAAAAAAGUGGUCCCAGUUCGGAUUGUGGGCUGCAACCCGCCCACAUGAAGUCGGAGUUGCUAGUAAUCGCGGAUCAGCAUGCCGCGGUGAAUACGUUCCCGGGCCUUGCACUCACCGCCCGUCA